GCGAACAGGAUUAGAUACCCUGGUAGUCCAUGCCGCGUCGACAAACGAUGAUUACUAGGUGUGGGAGGAUUGACCCCUUCCGUGCCGCAGUUAACACAAUAAGUAAUCCACCUGGGGAGUACGACCGCAAGGUUGAAACUCAAAGGAAUUGACGGGGGCCCGCACAAGCAGUGGAGUAUGUGGUUUAAUUCGAAACAACGCGAAGAACCUUACCAGGUCUUGACAUCCGAUGCAUAGUCUAGAGAUAGAUGAAGUCCUUCGGGACAUCGAGACAGGUGGUGCAUGGUUGUCGUCAGCUCGUGUCGUGAGAUGUUGGGUUAAGUCCCGCAACGAGCGCAACCCUUAUCGUUAG
Molecule: ribosomal RNA, 352 nt
Filed under: uncultured bacterium
Lineage: Bacteria
Description: bacterial SSU rRNA
Rfam family: Bacterial small subunit ribosomal RNA
Source: RNAcentral